This 4551-nucleotide long non-coding RNA is filed under the name Olea europaea subsp. europaea. Lineage: Eukaryota; Viridiplantae; Streptophyta; Magnoliopsida; Lamiales; Oleaceae. The record is from RNAcentral.
UUUUAUUCUGGACAUUUUUGACCAAUUUGGUUGACUUCCCUUUUAAAUUAAUUAAAGUAUUACAUAAAGAAACAGGUUCCUUACCAUCUUCAACAUACGAUUUUUGUAGCAAAGCCAUCUGAAUAGUUGUUUAUACACAAAUAUGUAUAUGUAACACUCAUUCCUUAUUCUGUGUACAUGUACUUCUGCGUUUCUAUUAAACAGACUUGUUAACUCUUCAAAUUUCAAUAUGUGAUGAGGAUCAAUUACGCAGUAUUCAAGGGUGAUUUAAAUUGAUGUUUGUCAAUGAGAGAUGGACGAAGAUUAUUUACCAAUUUCAUAUUGUAAUCAUAUUUACACAUUCCCUUACCAUACUUGUAAAAUGCUUUUUCCAUAUUUGUAUAUCUUUAUUAAUAUAUAAUACAAGAAUUUGAAUGGGGAGAUUAUUCAGCCUAAAAAUAUUGUUAUGGUAUCAGAGCCUACCUCUGAGAUCGCUGAAUCAUGGGCUCCCUUUGUUGGUCACUAAGUCUCAUGUGGUGGCAUCUUGAGUUCUGGAAUCGAGAAGAACGGUAUCUGACUUCCUUCACAGGUGGGAGUCGAUUCUCUGUAGGUGGUCGAAGUUGAGUAUGAGAUUCUCUGGCGUUUCUGUGUGUGCGGCGUUUUCAUGUGUAAAGCAUUGUUGUGGUUCCUGUGUGUGCAAUCGGCAUGGGAGAUUACCUGUCCAGUUAUUGGCAUCUCCAUCUGUGUGUGCAACGAUCGACGAUGGCUCUCGUUUUGUGUCUCCGGUGAUCGACGCGCUUCUAUAGGAUUGCGUUUUCGUGGUCGGUGUGAAGCAGUGUGGGUUUGGUUGUAAUUUUAGGUUUUAUUAACUGGGCCUGAUCCAUUAGGUAUGUGGGUUUGGGUAUGGGCUCCAUAACUGAAUUGGGCAUCUUGGAGUAGAUUGUGUGGUUAUAAAUUGAAGUGGGCUGUGGACAAUUAUUUUGAUUUAUACAUGGGCUGUUGUUCAAAGUGGGCUUUGAUUAGGGUAUUUUGUGGACGGAGGUUAAAAUAUUUUGUGAUUUUCUAACAUUGAGAAGUCAUGCCGAUCGAGGCAUUUUGUGUUAAGUUUACUGGAAAGAAUUAUCCUAUAUGGAAAUUUCAAUUCAAGAUGAUCUUAAAAGGGAAGGAGCUUUGGGGGCAAAGGAUGCUAGAAUUAUUUCCUGGAUUGUGGGAUCUAUGGAGGCGCACAUGGUGAAUAAUUUACACUCCUUUACUACUGUAAAGGAAAUGUGGGAAUAUUUAAAGCACAUUUAUUAUCAAGACAAUAAUGCUUGAAAAUUCUAGCUGGAGUUAGAGAUUGCUAAUUACACUCAGGGUAAUCUUACUAUUGAGCAGUAUUACUCUGGCUUUUUUAACUUAUGGAGUGAGUAUUCCCGCAUAAUUCAUGCUAAGGUUCCUGUGACGACAUUAUCAGCACUACAAGAUGUUUAGGAAGUUAGUAAGCGAGAUUAGUUCUUGAUGAAACUAUGACCCGAAUUUGAAGUGGUUUGAGCAGGCUUAUUGAAUCGUGAUCCAGUUCCUCCAUUGGAUUUUUUUUUGGGUAAACUUUUGCAUGUAGAGUAACGAUUGGCUACUUAAGCUACGGUGGGAGCUGAUAUUUCCUCACCCGAUGUGGUCAAUGUUGCAUAUGUUGCCCAAGGACGAGGGAAGAGUAAACUUCAGUGUUUUCAUUGCAAAGGAUACGAUUAUAUUACUCGUAACUAUCCUCAGACAAUUUGCAAUUAUUGUAAGGAACCAGGGAAAAUCAUCAAGGACUGUCCCACACGACCUCCAUAUCAGAAAGCUAAAGCAUUUCAGGUUGACAUUCGAGGUACUACUCCAAGACCUUCACAGACUAGCACCAGUCAACCUCUACUUACCCCAGAAAUAGUUCAGCAGAUGAUUGCUUCCACCUUCUCUGCCUUGGGGUUACAAGGUAAGGGUUCAGUUGUUUCUUCACCUUGGUUUGUUGACUCAGGAGCAUCAUACCACAUGACAGGUAGUUCUGGUUCAUUGAAUAAUAGCUCACAACAUAUUCAAAUCGCUAAUGACAGUACCUUUCCUAUUACUGUUGGUGGUGAUCUUGGGUCUCGGUUUGAUAAUGUUUUUGUAUCUUCGAACUUAUCUAUAAACUUGAUUUCGGUUGGUCAAUUGGUUGAUAAUAACUGUGAUAUAUGUAUUUCUUGUGUUGGUUAUCUUGUACAGGAUCAGGCGUCGAGGAAGGCAGUUUACUAUUCCUCACGCUAUGUCUUUGGCUUGUAUUAGUUUUUGACUCAAGCAUGAGAUUUGGCAUAAAAGAUUAGGGCAUCCAAACACUUUAAUUUUGUCUCAUUUGUUGAAAUGUGGUUUCCUUGUUAAUAAAGAUUAGUUUCAAUUUCCAAUUUAAAUUUUGAUUGUGAUACUUGUAAACUUGGGAAAAGUAAGACUCUUCCAUUUCCUACCCAUGGCAAUCAUGUUGAUAAAUGCUUUAAGAUUAUUCAUAGUGAUGUUUAGGGUAUCACGCCUGUUACUUCACAUGCUCAAUAUAAAUAUUUUGUGACGUUUAUUGAUGAUUUUAGUCGCUACACUUCGAUAUAUUUUCUUCGUUCUAAGAGUGAGGUUAGUACCACUCUUAGAACUUUUGUAGCUUACAUUAAGACACAGUUUUCUACCAACAUUCAUAUUUUAUGGUCUAAAAAUGGGGGAGAAUAUAUGUCUCAUGAUUGUCAAAACUUCUUAUAACAAAAAUGUAUUAUCUCUCAACGUUCUUUUCCAUAUGCUCUACAACAAAAUGGGGUAGUCGAAAGAAAGAAUCGGCACUUGUUAGAUGUUGUUCGAGUUUUGCUUUUGGAAUCAUUAGUUCCACCUAAAUUUUGGGUUGAAGCCCUAUCCACAGUCGUAUACCUAAUUAAUUGACUUCCUUCUCAAUAUUUGAAUUUUGACUCGUCUUAUUUUCGCUUAUACAGUACACAUCCUAGUUAUGAUAUGUUAAAUAAUUUUAGCUGUGUUUGCUUUGUUCAUCCGCCUCCUCAUAAACAUCAUAAACUUGCUGCUCAAUCUGUAAAAUGUGUUUUUAUGGGAUAUAGUAUUGCUCAGAAGGGCUUCGUUUGUUAUGAUGGUGUUGCUAACCGCUUCCUUAUAUCUCGCAAUGUGGUUUUCUUUGAGAAUCAGUAUUAUUUCCACCAGCAUGUCAUAUCCUCUUCUGAUUUGGCUCGGCUUAGUAUAUUUGAGGAUGACUCUCGUCCCAAUGAACGUUUUAAACCAGGUUUGGUCUAUUAAAGACGACAGUCUUCGGCCCUAUCGCCUCUUCCUGACCCUAAUCCCUCUCCAGGCUCUACUAAUCUUAUGCGGUCCACUCACACUGUUAAACGUCCCGAAAAGUAUGGUUUCUCUGCAACCUUAUCUCAUAUCACUGUUCCUACUUCUUAUUCUCAGGUAGUUACCCAACGUUGUUGAGAAAAAGUAAUGUAAGAGGAACUCCUGGCUCUUCAAGAGAAUCACACUUGGGAUAUUGUCUUUGUCCUCCUGGGGUCAAACCUAUUGAAUGUAAGUAGGUCUAUUCUAUUAAGCUACGCUCUGACGGUUCCUUAGAUCGAUAUAAAGCUCGGUUGGUGGCUCUUGGUAAUCACCAAGAAUAUGGAGUGGAUUAUGAGGAGAAUUUUGCUCCCGUUGUGAAAAUGACCACGGUUCGUACGAUUUUUACUAUAGCUGCCUCUAAAGGUUGGUCUAUGCGGUAGAUGGAUGUCAAAAUGCUUUUUUGCAUGGUGAUCUUCAGGAAGAGAUCUAUAUGUCUCCUCCACCAAGUCUCUUCUCCAAACCCUCUUUUGAGGUUUUUAAGCUAAAGUGUUCACUUUAUGGGCUGAAACAGGCUCCUCGUGCUUGGUUUGACAAGUUUCGUUCCACUCUCUUGGGAUUCUCAUUUACUCAGAGCCAGUAUGACUUAUCGCUCUUUAUCUCUGUCAGCGAGGUAGGUAUUGUGUUCCUUCUUAUCUAUGUGGAUGAUAUAGUUAUUACAUGGACAUACUUGGGAUUGAUAUCUCACCUUCAAAACCGACUUAAGGAGUCAUUUCAUAUGGAGGAUUUGGGAUAUUUACAAUACUUCUUAGGUCUAGAGGUGCUUUCAAGUCCGUCCGGGACUUAUCUACAUCAGCAUAAGUAUAUAGAGGAAUUGAUUGCAUUAGGUGGACUUCGGGAUGGUAAAGUUGUUGACACUUUUUUGGAGGUAAAUGUAAAGUAGAGCAAGGAGGAAGGGGAUCUUCUUUUUUAUCCCUCUUUAUAUCGUCAGCUAGUGGGAAGUUUGAACUAUCUUACAGUUAGGGGUGGGCGUGGGUUGGGUUGGUUUUUGCCCCAACCCAAACCCAACCCAACAUGGUCAGUUUGAUUGAAAUUCAACCCAACCCAACCCAUGCAAGGAUUGAAACCCAACCCAACCCAACCAAAUGUCGGUCGGGUUGGGUUGGUCGGUUCGGGACAAUCUAUCAACAAAUAUUAAAGUCACCAAAAUACUGAGAAAUCAUGAUCUAAACAUGCUCUUUGUAAUUAAAACACCACUGCCAUCAAGAGCACCAGCCAAAC